UUUUCGAGUUGCACUCAUUGAGCCUUCUGUUGCAGAUUGUAAUCAACAUGGAUGACAGCUUAUAUGAUGAGUUUGGGAACUAUAUUGGACCAGACAUAGAAUCUGAUAGAGACUCUGAUGUUGGGGAGGAUGAUGAGGACCUACCUGACAAAGCUGAUGAAGAACCACCAGUGUCAGAUGACGAGAACACUGCUGCUGCUUCAGCUGGAUGGAUAACAUCUACUAAUGAUAUUGAUAUGGAUAACCAGGUUGUGCUUGCUGAAGACAAGAAGUAUUACCCUACUGCAGAAGAGGUAUUUGGUGAGGAUGUUGAGGCCCUUGUGAUGGAUGAAGAUGAGCAGCCCCUUGAACAACCAAUUAUAAAACCUGUCCGGAAUAUUAAAUUUGAGUUGGGUGUGAAGGAUUCUUCUACCUAUGUGGAUACGAAAUUCCUUCUGGGUCUUAUGUCGAACCCCUUGCUGGUUAGGAAUGUUGCCCUUGUUGGGCACCUCCAGCAUGGUAAAACAGUUUUCAUGGACAUGCUGAUCGAGCAAACCCAUCACAUCUCAACAUUUGAUCCAAAUAGCGAGAAGCACAUGAGGUACACAGACACGAGGAUAGAUGAGCAAGAGAGGAGGAUCUCAAUCAAGGCAGUGCCCAUGUCUCUUGUUCUUGAGGAUAGCAAUGCAAAAUCCUACUUAUGUAAUAUUAUGGACACUCCUGGCCAUGUCAAUUUCUCCGAUGAAAUGACUGCGGCUCUCAGACUUGCUGAUGGUGCUGUAUUGAUUGUAGAUGCUGCUGAAGGAGUAAUGGUAAACACAGAGAGGGCUAUACGCCAUGCAAUUCAAGAACGGCUUCCCAUUGUAGUUGUGCUUAACAAGGUUGACAGGCUGAUUACAGAAUUAAAAUUGCCUCCAAAGGAUGCUUACCAUAAGAUAAGGCAUACAAUUGAAGUCAUCAACAACCACAUAUCUGCCGCCUCUUCUACUGCAGGAGGUGUACAAACCAUUGAUCCAGCUGCCGGGAAUGUUUGCUUUGCAAGUUCAAGUGCUGGUUGGUCCUUCACUUUGCAAUCAUUUGCUAAACUUUAUUCUAAGCUUCAUGGGAUCCCAUUCGAUGCUGAUAAGUUUGCUAGCCGCCUUUGGGGAGAUAUGUACUAUCAUCCUGAUGCUAGGGUUUUCAAGAGGAAGCCCCCUGCUAGUGGGGGGGAAAGAUCAUUUGUGCAGUUUAUCCUGGAGCCACUCUAUAAAAUCUAUAGCCAAGUAAUUGGAGAACAUAAGAAGAGUGUGGAGUCAACUCUUGCUGAACUUGGUGUCACACUUAGCAAUGCGGCAUACAAGUUAAAUGUUAGACCCUUGCUAAGGCUGGCCUGUAGCUCAGUUUUUGGUACUGCAACGGGGUUUACGGAUAUGCUAGUUAAUCACAUCCCAUCAGCCAAGGAUGCUGCACCUAAGAAGGUGGAACAUAUAUAUACAGGACCCAAAGACUCAUCGGUUUACGAGGCCAUGGAAAACUGUGAUCCUUAUGGUCCACUUAUGAUUAAUGUCACAAAACUUUAUCCCAAGUCUGAUUGCAGUGUAUUUGAUGCUUUUGGUAGAGUCUACAGUGGUGAGAUCCAAACUGGACAGACUGUACGUGUAUUAGGUGAAGGUUACUCUCCAGAUGAUGAAGAGGACAUGACCAUAAAAGAAGUAACAAAGUUAUGGGUUUAUCAAUCUCGUUACAGGAUACCCAUAAGCAAGGCUCCUCCUGGCUCUUGGGUUCUCAUUGAAGGUGUGGAUGCUUCAAUUAUGAAGACUGCUACACUUUGCAAUGUGGACUAUGAUGAAGAUUUGUAUAUAUUCCGGCCUCUUAAGUUCAAUACUCUCCCUGUUGUCAAGACUGCAACUGAACCUUUGAAUCCAAGUGAGUUACCCAAGAUGGUGGAAGGUCUUAGGAAAAUCAGUAAGAGCUAUCCUUUGGCAAUUACGAAGGUCGAGGAGUCUGGUGAGCAUACCAUUUUGGGUACUGGAGAGUUAUAUUUGGACUCUAUAAUGAAAGACCUUAGGGAGCUCUAUUCUGAAGUGGAAGUUAAGGUCGCAGAUCCUGUUGUGUCAUUCUGUGAGACAGUGGUGGAGUCUUCAUCAAUGAAAUGUUUUGCUGAAACACCGAACAAAAAGAACAAAAUAACCAUGAUUGCAGAGCCCCUGGAAAAGGGACUUGCAGAGGAUAUUGAGAAUGGUGUUGUAAGCAUUGAUUGGCCUAAAAAGAAACUUGGCGAUUUCUUCCAAACAAAAUAUGAUUGGGAUCUACUUGCAGCACGGUCUAUUUGGGCAUUCGGGCCUGAUAAGCAGGGACCUAACAUUUUAUUAGAUGAUACUCUUCCAAGUGAAGUUGACAAAAACUUGCUGAAUGCAGUCAAGGAUUCCAUUGUUCAAGGUUUCCAGUGGGGUGCUCGAGAAGGACCACUCUGUGAUGAACCCAUCAGAAAUGUAAAAUUCAAGAUUGUUGAUGCAAGGAUUGCUCCUGAGCCUUUGCAUCGGGGCACUGGUCAAAUCAUUCCAACUGCUCGACGGGUGGCUUAUUCAGCAUUCCUCAUGGCAACUCCAAGGCUCAUGGAACCUGUAUACUAUGUAGAGAUCCAAACCCCAAUAGACUGUGUAUCUGCAAUCUACACAGUGUUAUCUCGUAGGCGUGGACAUGUUACGGCUGACGUUCCUCAACCGGGAACUCCUGCUUACCUUGUCAAGGCAUUUUUACCAGUGAUAGAAUCCUUUGGGUUUGAGACAGACUUAAGGUACCAUACUCAAGGACAGGCAUUUUCCCUCUCUGCAUUUGACCAUUGGGCUAUAGUUCCUGGAGAUCCCCUUGACAAAAGCAUAGUCCUGCGACCCCUCGAACCUGCACCCAUUCAGCACCUUGCACGAGAAUUCAUGGUGAAGACAAGGCGUCGGAAGGGAAUGAGUGAAGAUGUUAGCAUAAAUAAGUUUUUUGACGAAGCUAUGGUGGUGGAGCUGGCUCAGCAGGCCGCGGAGCUUCAUCAGCAGAUGAUAUGAAUAGCAAGUUAGGAUGGAGAUGGAUGAAGCUAUGGUGUUUGGUCUGGCUCUGCAUGCAGAUGAGCUUUGUCAAAGUACUGAGGUGUAGGGGCUCAGCGGAUGUUCUGUUUUAUUUUAUGCUUUCAAGUGAUAUUUUUUUGAGGCUGAGAUUGGAUCCAGUAAAGAAUGGUAUGUUCAUUGUAGAAAC
Telopea speciosissima is the source of this 3201-nucleotide RNA transcript. It is a transcript of the gene named 110 kDa U5 small nuclear ribonucleoprotein component CLO, with no coding region annotated. The record is from RefSeq and is a predicted model, not a curated record. Lineage: Eukaryota; Viridiplantae; Streptophyta; Magnoliopsida; Proteales; Proteaceae. The transcript is spliced from 10 exons.